RNAcentral lists this ribosomal RNA (468 nucleotides) under uncultured bacterium. Its description in RNAcentral is "partial 16S ribosomal RNA". It matches the Rfam family "Bacterial small subunit ribosomal RNA", at positions 28 to 507 of the family's 1533-position model. The record is from RNAcentral.
GACGAACGCUGGCGGCGUGCUUAACACAUGCAAGUCGAACGGAAAGGCCCUGCUUUUGUGGGGUGCUCGAGUGGCGAACGGGUGAGUAACACGUGAGUAACCUGCCCUUGACUUUAGGAUAACUUCAGGAAACUGGUGCUAAUACCGGAUAGGAGCUCCUGCUGCAUGGUGGGGGUUGGAAAGUUUCGGCGGUUGGGGAUGGACUCGCGGCUUAUCAGCUUGUUGGUGGGGUAGUGGCUUACCAAGGCUUUGACGGGUAGCCGGCCUGAGAGGGUGAACGGCCACAUUGGGACUGAGAUACGGCCCAGACUCCUACGGGAGGCAGCAGUGGGGAAUAUUGCACAAUGGGCGGAAGCCUGAUGCAGCAACGCCGCGUGCGGGAUGACGGCCUUCGGGUUGUAAACCGCUUUCGCCUGUGACGAAGCGUGAGUGACGGUAAUGGGUAAAGAAGCACCGGCUAACUACGUG